This 460-nucleotide ribosomal RNA is filed under the name uncultured bacterium. RNAcentral's name for it is "partial 16S ribosomal RNA". It matches the Rfam family "Bacterial small subunit ribosomal RNA", at positions 338 to 795 of the family's 1533-position model. The record is from RNAcentral.
CCUACGGGUGGCAGCAGUGAGGAAUAUUGGUCAAUGGCCGGAAGGCUGAACCAGCCAUGCCGCGUGAAGGUCAGUGCCCUAUGGGCGUUAAACUUCUUUUGUGCGGGAGCAAUAAUGGUCACGUGUGGCCCGACGAUAUUACCGUACUAAUAAGCAUCGGCUAACUCCGUGCCAGCAGCCGCGGUAAUACGGGGGAUGCAAGCGUUAUCCUGAUUUAUUGGGUUUAAAGGGUGCGUAGGCUGUGAGGUAAGUCAGCGGUGAAAUGCCCCCGUUCAACGGGGUGAAGGGCCAUUGAUACUGCCUGGCUGGAAUGCGGAUGCCGUGGGAGGAAUGUGUGGUGUAGCGGUGAAAUGCAUAGAUAUCACACAGAACACCGAUUGCGAAGGCAUCUCACGAAGCCGCGAUUGACGCUGAUGCACGAAAGCGUGGGUAUCAAACAGGAUUAGAUACCCUAGUAGUC